GAUAAAGUAGUGUAGCCUGAUACAGGAAAGUUUCUGAGCAUAUCUGAAAAAAAAACCCGUAAUAACACACAAGACAUGACACAGUAAAUACAUUGUGAUGAUGACCACUUGACAGGGGAGAAGACGUACAGUACACAUACAAAAGAGAGUUUGUGAUACAUGUGUACAUAAAUACAUUAAUACAUGUAAUAAACAUAAAUACAUUAUUUUGAGGAUUUUUUUUUUUUGAUUGUUGUUUUUAUAAAAUAUUUUUCAAGAAAUGUAAAACGACGGAACAAAGUUGCACAAAACUUUUAAACGACUCCGUUCUCCGUUAGCGACACAUGAAAAUUGAACAUGUCGAAUGAAUCAACACACAAAAAGCACAACAGAAAAAGCACAUUUCUCUUCCUAUGUCACAAAUGCACUGCAAGUUUGGCUUUUUUUUCUCAAUGGUUAAGACAAUGUGAUUCUUAUAGUCGAGUUUCUGAAUAAUUUGUGGGCCGUGAACUGGAUCUCACUUGGCUAUAGGACCGUGGCUCGUUUCAAAACCUCUACCUCUACCGUCACCUGGUAUUCCGUUGAGAAAAUAUGUCUCUGUUACUUUACAUGGGAGAGAUAACCAUGAUUUAUAAAGCAGACAAACUUCCCAGCCAGUGAGAGUUAUAUAAACAUGAGCGUGGGCCGAUGGUGGUGUAUGGGCUAUGGAAAUUGACUUGGGUCCAGCGGAAUGGCAAUAAAGUAUGAAUAAAUGGAUUGUGGGGGAAGAGGGAGAGACUAGCUGAGAGAGCCGAUGGCAGCCAUUUUGUGUCUGGCCCGUGGCCCAUGGUGCCAUCUUACAAAUGACUGCAUUAACAGAGCCAAUUAAAGUGGCAAUCAUUUAAUGGCCACCUACGCAGCCGUGCGAGACUGGAACUUUCAUCACGUCAAUCGGCCGUAAGGCAGUAAUAUUCAGUUAGAGCAAUCUGGCCAGUGGACCGACUCAGCUCUGCUCUACUCUCAAUAAAACAUGCCACCACUCAGCACUGACUGGGUAUUAGGAACUACAGCUUUAGGAGGAGAGGAGUUAUUCUUUUGAAAAUAAAUACACUGAAUCGCUUUCAUUUAAUGGCAGCUAUCAAUAGUAGUUCUUUGUAGUUAAUUGUACAAAAAAGUUUGUAAUAAAUUUAAAAAAAGAGAGAAUAAAUGUUUUAUUUCCACCAAUUUUUCUAAAUGUAUUUUGGUUUUCAUAAACUAAAGAACACAUGCUUUCCAUGACAGGUUUCUCUCCCUUCACCUGAAAUGAAGGUGCAGACAGACUGAUGGGGACAUGAAGGUGCAGACAGACUGAUGGGGACAUGAAGAUGCAGACAGACUGAUGGGACAUGAAGGUGCAGACAGAGUGAUGGGACAUGAAGGUGCAGACAGACUGAUGGGGGAAAUGAAGGUGCAGACAGACUGAUGGGGACAUGAAGGUGCAGACAGACUGAUGGGGGAAAUGAAGGUGCAGACAGACUGAUGGGGGAAAUGAAGAUGCAGACAGACUGAUGGGGGAAAUUAAGAUGCAGACAGACUGAUGGGGACAUGAAGAUGCAGACAGAGUGAUGGGGGAAAUGAAGGUGCAGACAGAGUGAUGGGGGACAUGAAGGUGCAGACAGACUGAUGGGGACAUGAAGAUGCAGACAGAGUGAUGGGGGAAAUGAAGGUGCAGACAGAGUGAUGGGGACAUGAAGAUGCAGACAGACUGAUGGGGGAAAUGAAGAUGCAGACAGACUGAUGGGGACAUGAAGAUGCAGACAGACUGAUGGGGGAAAUGAAGGUGCAGACAGAGUGAUGGGGGAAAUGAAGGUGCAGACAGACUGAUGGGGGAAAUGAAGGUGCAGACAGACUGAUGGGGGAAAUGAAGGUGCAGACAGACUGAUGGGGGAAAUGAAGGUGCAGACAGACUGAUGGGGGAAAUGAAGGUGCAGACAGACUGAUGGGGGAAAUGAAGGUGCAGACAGACUGAUGGGGGAAAUGAAGGUGCAGACAGACUGAUGGGGGAAAUGAAGGUGCAGACAGACUGAUGGGGACAUGAAGAUGCAGACAGACUGAUGGGGACAUGAAGAUGCAGACAGACUGAUGGGGACAUGAAGGUGCAGACAGACUGAUGGGGACAUGAAGAUGCAGACAGACUGAUGGGGACAUGAAGGUGCAGACAGAGUGAUGGGGACAUGAAGGUGCAGAUGGACUGAUGGGGACAUGAAGGUGCAGACAGAGUGAUGGGACAUGAAGAUGCAGACAGACUGAUGGGGGAAAUGAAGGUGCAGACAGACUGAUGGGGACAUGAAGAUGCAGACAGACUGAUGGGGACAUGAAGAUGCAGACAGAGUGAUGGGACAUGAAGGUGCAGACAGACUGAUGGGGACAUGAAGGUGCAGACAGACUGAUGGGGACAUGAAGAUGCAGACAGAGUGAUGGGACAUGAAGGUGCAGACAGACUGAUGGGGACAUGAAGAUGCAGACAGAGUGAUGGGACAUGAAGG
Long non-coding RNA from Oncorhynchus keta (chum salmon), 2483 nucleotides. RefSeq lists it as uncharacterized. The record is from RefSeq and is a predicted model, not a curated record. Lineage: Eukaryota; Metazoa; Chordata; Actinopteri; Salmoniformes; Salmonidae. The transcript is spliced from 6 exons.